AACCUUUACACUGCACGACAGUGCGAUAAGGGAAUCCCAAGUGCGUAGGCAUAGAGCCUACGCUUUUGUCCACCGUAGGGAGGUGGACGAAUAAGGGCUGGGCAAGACCGGUGCCAGCCGCCGCGGUAAUACCGGCAGCCCGAGUGAUGGCCGAUCUUAUUGGGCCUAAAGCGUCCGUAGCUGGCCGCACAAGUCCAUCGGAAAAUCCACCCGCUCAACGGGUGGGCGUCCGGUGGAAACUGUGUGGCUUGGGACCGGAAGGCGCGACGGGUACGUCCGGGGUAGGAGUGAAAUCCCGUAAUCCUGGACGGACCGCCGAUGGCGAAAGCACGUCGCGAGAACGGAUCCGACAGUGAGGGACGAAAGCUAGGGUCUCGAACCGGAUUAGAUACCCGGGUAGUCCUAGCCGUAAACAAUGCCUGCUAGGUGUGGCUCCCACUACGAGUGGGUGCUGUGCCGUAGGGAAGCCGCUAAGCAGGCCGCCUGGGAAGUACGUCCGCAAGGAUGAAACUUAA
RNAcentral lists this ribosomal RNA (515 nucleotides) under uncultured archaeon. RNAcentral describes it as "bacterial SSU rRNA". It matches the Rfam family "Archaeal small subunit ribosomal RNA", at positions 345 to 859 of the family's 1478-position model. The record is from RNAcentral.